UACGUAGGGUGCGAGCGUUAAUCGGAAUUACUGGGCGUAAAGUGUGCGCAGGCGGCCGCGCAAGUCGAGUGUGAAAGCCCCGGGCUUAACUUGGGAAUUGCGCUCGAAACUACGUGGCUGGAGUAUGGCAGAGGAAGGUGGAAUUCCACGUGUAGCGGUGAAAUGCGUAGAGAUGUGGAGGAACACCGAUGGCGAAGGCAGUGUUCUGGGCCAGUACUGACGCUGAGGAGCGAAAGCGUGGGGAGCAAACAGG
This 253-nucleotide ribosomal RNA is filed under the name uncultured bacterium. RNAcentral's name for it is "partial 16S ribosomal RNA". It matches the Rfam family "Bacterial small subunit ribosomal RNA", at positions 524 to 776 of the family's 1533-position model. The record is from RNAcentral.